This 469-nucleotide ribosomal RNA is filed under the name uncultured bacterium. RNAcentral describes it as "bacterial SSU rRNA". It matches the Rfam family "Bacterial small subunit ribosomal RNA", at positions 28 to 507 of the family's 1533-position model. The record is from RNAcentral.
GAUGAACGCUAGCGGCAGGCCUAAUACAUGCAAGUCAAGGGGGAUAGCAAUAUCACCGGCGGACGGGUGCGUAACGCGUACACAACGUGCCCAAGGGCGGAGGAAAGCGGCGGGAAACUGCCGGUAAUACUCCAUGGUGUUGUUGAGUGGCAUCACUUAACAACUAAAGUACAAGCGCCCUUGGAUCGGUGUGCGUUCGAUUAGCUAGUUGGCGGGGUAACGGCCCACCAAGGCUUCGAUCGAUAGGGGGUGUGAGAGCAUGACCCCCCACACGGGUACUGAGACACGGACCCGACUCCUACGGGAGGCAGCAGUAAGGAAUAUUGGACAAUGGGCGGAAGCCUGAUCCAGCCAUGCCGCGUGAAGGACGAAGGCGCUCAGCGUUGUAAACUUCUUUUGGAUGGGAACAAUAACUCCGACUUGUCGGAACUUGAGGGUACCAUCAGAAUAAGCACCGGCUAACUCCGUG